AAAGUCGUAACAAGGUUUCCGUAGGUGAACCUGCGGAAGGAUCAUUAACACGUAUCCACGUUUAUCACCCGAGAUUUCUUAAGAUGGCUUAUUCGAGUAAAAGGCACAAUGCACUUGUGUAUUAUGCCUCGGCCCUUUCAAUUUCGGUUGUAUUGCGGCCAUUGAAUUUGCCUCUUAAGUAAUUACUUCCCUGUUGGUCUCAUUUCGGUGAAACCCUCAGGGAGUAGUUAAUCUCAAGGACUUUCUUUCGGGAGAGUCCUUGAGGUGAACUUAAACCCCUUUUUUCAAACCUAAAAGCCGUCUCUUUGUAGACCGCUUUUAACCGAAUGCUGUACAACUCUUAGCAACGGAUAUCUUGGUUCUG
RNAcentral lists this unclassified non-coding RNA (364 nucleotides) under Basidiomycota sp. RNAcentral's name for it is "partial contains small subunit ribosomal RNA, internal transcribed spacer 1, and 5.8S ribosomal RNA". The stretch from base 1 to 47 matches the Rfam family "Eukaryotic small subunit ribosomal RNA", at positions 1785 to 1831 of the family's 1831-position model. Lineage: Eukaryota; Fungi; Basidiomycota. The record is from RNAcentral.